UGGGGAAUAUUGCACAAUGGGCGCAAGCCUGAUGCAGCGACGCCGCGUGGGGGAUGACGGCCCUCGGGUUGUAAACUCCUUUCGCUAGGGACGAAGCUUUUUGUGACGGUACCUAGAUAAGAAGCACCGGCUAACUACGUGCCAGCAGCCGCGGUAAUACGUAGGGUGCGAGCGUUGUCCGGAAUUACUGGGCGUAAAGGGCUCGUAGGUGGUUUGUCGCGUCGUCUGUGAAAUUCCGGGGCUUAACUCCGGGCGUGCAGGCGAUACGGGCAUAACUUGAGUACUGUAGGGGUAACUGGAAUUCCUGGUGUAGCGGUGAAAUGCGCAGAUAUCAGGAGGAACACCGAUGGCGAAGGCAGGUUACUGGGCAGUUACUGACGCUGAGGAGCGAAAGCAUGGGUAGCGAACAGG
RNAcentral lists this ribosomal RNA (411 nucleotides) under Actinomycetes bacterium. RNAcentral's name for it is "Actinobacteria bacterium partial 16S ribosomal RNA". It matches the Rfam family "Bacterial small subunit ribosomal RNA", at positions 355 to 776 of the family's 1533-position model. The record is from RNAcentral. Lineage: Bacteria; Bacillati; Actinomycetota; Actinomycetes.